CAAGGUCAUCUGAAUUCCAUCUUAAACAGGAAAGAAAGCAAGGUGCAGCUUGGCAGGGGCCAAGAUAAGAGCUGAGGCCACUGAUGUAUGUCCAGUUGCAGCCUGGAAACCAUCACGGGGGAUGACAUAAACCACCGUCGGCGUACGAUGCUUUAUAGGUUGUGUGGACACGGGCUCUGGAGCCAGACCCCUUGGGUUCCGAUCCACGUUCACCAUUCAUUGGUUGCAAGCGGUACCAAGUUUGUGAUGAGAUGUUUCCGUGAUUGUUGGAUCGGUGGCUUUUCCCAAGUAGACCACGAGCUCCAGAGCUCUGACUCCCGGGAGAAGGAAGAGGACGGCCCCUCGGGGCCGCACAGAAUGGACAGGCCAAGCGACAGGAGGGAGGCCGCCCGCGCUCCUCCAGGGCCUCGAGGAAGGCACAGUCACACCUGCAAAACACAGCGCCCAUCUUUUUCAUCCGCUUUUACCUCUCAGGAGACCCCGGUCCCCAGAGACCUGUUUUCACCUCCCCGGCUCGGCACACAUGUUUUCUACAUGAUAUUAACCGGUCGCCUUUGAAU
This is a long non-coding RNA of Neofelis nebulosa (Clouded leopard), 560 nucleotides long. RefSeq lists it as uncharacterized. The record is from RefSeq and is a predicted model, not a curated record. The transcript is spliced from 3 exons. Lineage: Eukaryota; Metazoa; Chordata; Mammalia; Carnivora; Felidae.